AGUGAUGUGGCUCAGUGGGAGAGUGUGUGCCUAGCAUGUACAAGACCCUAGGUUUGGUCCCUAGCUCCACUA
RNAcentral lists this transfer RNA (72 nucleotides) under Marmota marmota marmota (Alpine marmot). It matches the Rfam family "tRNA". From Rfam's summary of the family: Transfer RNA (tRNA) molecules are approximately 80 nucleotides in length. Their secondary structure includes four short double-helical elements and three loops (D, anti-codon, and T loops). RNAcentral also lists the same sequence under 1 other name. Lineage: Eukaryota; Metazoa; Chordata; Mammalia; Rodentia; Sciuridae. The record is from Rfam by way of RNAcentral.